GUGAAGUUAAUCACAAACAAACUUAUACCCCUUUGUUUGACCGUGAAAAAUUUCUCCCAUCCCCUUUGUUCGUAAAAGUAAAAAAGGCCUUGCCUUGAGACAGCAAGUCCUUUUU
The sequence is a small RNA, 115 nucleotides long. It matches the Rfam family "RNA Staph. aureus E (RoxS)". From Rfam's summary of the family: It was shown to be regulated by the presence of nitric oxide (NO). In Bacillus subtilis it controls expression of genes with functions related to oxidative stress and oxidation-reduction reactions and it was renamed RoxS (for related to oxidative stress). The record is from Rfam.